RNAcentral lists this ribosomal RNA (1851 nucleotides) under Clostridium perfringens. RNAcentral's name for it is "partial 23S ribosomal RNA". It matches the Rfam family "Bacterial large subunit ribosomal RNA", at positions 1 to 1873 of the family's 2925-position model. Lineage: Bacteria; Bacillati; Bacillota; Clostridia; Eubacteriales; Clostridiaceae. The record is from RNAcentral.
GGUCAAGUUAUUAAGGGUGUAGGGCGAAUGCCUUGGCACUAGGAGCCGAUGAAGGACGUGAUAAGCUGCGAUAAGCUUGGGGGAGUUGCACGUAAACUGUGAUCCCAAGAUUUCCGAAUGAGGAAACUCACUUAGAGUAAUGUCUAAGUAUCGUAUAGUGAAUACAUAGCUAUGCGAGGGGAACCCGGGGAACUGAAACAUCUAAGUACCCGGAGGAAGAGAAAGAAAUUCGAUUCCGUAAGUAGCGGCGAGCGAACGCGGAACAGGCCAAACCAGUAAAGUUUUCUUUACUGGGGUUGCGGACAUAUCAUAACGAAGAGGCUAUUGUAGAUGAAGAGAGUUGGAAAGCUCCGCUAUAAAGUGUAAAAGCCACGUAAUCAAAACAAGAAGACUUCAGAUAUGAUCCAGAGUACCACGGGACACGUGAAACCCUGUGGGAAGCAGGAGGGACCAUCCUCCAAGCCUAAAUACUACCUAGUGACCGAUAGCGUAUAGUACCGUGAGGGAAAGGUGAAAAGAACCCCGGGAGGGGAGUGAAAUAGAACCUGAAACCCUACACUUACAAGCUGUAGGAGCACAUUACUUGUGUGACUGCGUACUUUUUGUAGAACGGGCCAACGAGUUACGUUACCUAGCAAGGUUAAGCACUUAAGGUGUGGAGCCGCAGCGAAAGCGAGUCUUAACUGGGCGCAUAGUUAGUUGACGUAGACCCGAAACCGGGCGACCUAUCCAUGGGCAGGUUGAAGCGAAAGUAAAAUUUCGUGGAGGACCGAACCCACGAGCGUUGAAAAGCUCGGGGAUGACCUGUGGAUAGCGGUGAAAUUCCAAUCGAGCCCGGAGAUAGCUGGUUCUCUCCGAAAUAGCUUUAGGGCUAGCCUCAAGAUUUAGAGAAACGGGGGUAGAGCACUGAAUGUCCUAGGGGGUAUUGCACUUACCGAAGACUAUCAAACUCCGAAUACCGUAUUCUUAUGCUUGGGAGUCAGACUAUGGGUGAUAAGAUUCAUAGUCAAAAGGGCAACAGCCCAGAUCGUCAGCUAAGGUCCCUAAAUGUACGUUAAGUGGUAAAGGAUGUGGGAUUGCACAGACAACCAGGAUGUUGGCUUAGAAGCAGCCACUCAUUUAAAGAGUGCGUAAUAGCUCACUGGUCGAGUGAUCCUGCGCCGAAAAUUUCCGGGGCUAAAACGUACUACCGAAGCUACGGCAUCAUUUAUGAUGGGUAGGAGAGCUUUCUAUACGGAUUGAAGCAUUACCGUAAGGAGAUGUGGACUGUAUAGAAGUGAGAAUGUUGGCAUGAGUAGCGAGAUGUGGGUGAGAAUCCCACAGGCCGUAAACCCAAGGUUUCCAGGGGAAGGUUCGUCCGCCCUGGGUUAGUCAGGACCUAAGCCGAGGCCGAAAGGCGUAGGUGAUGGACAACAGGUUGAUAUUCCUGUACCACCAAUAACCGUUUGAGAAAUGGGAUGACACAGUAGGAUAAGCUAACCGCACUGUUGGUUAUGUGCGGGCAAGUAUUGAGGCAGUUUAGGUAGGCAAAUCCGCCUGAAUAAUGCUGGGGUACGAUGCGGAGCGAAAUUUAGUAGCGAAGUAGCUGAUUUCACACUGUCGAGAAAAGUCUCUAUCGAGGUUAAAGGUGCCUGUACCGCAAACCGACACAGGUGGGUGAGGAGAGUAUCCUAAGGCCAGCCAGAGAACUGUUGUUAAGGAACUCGGCAAAAUGACCCCGUAACUUAGGGAGAAGGGGUGCCUUCGAAAGAAGGCCGCAGAGAAUAGGCCCAAGCGACUGUUUACCAAAAACAUAGGUUUCUGCUAAGUCGCAAGACGAUGUAUAGGAGCUGACGCCUGCCCGGUGCUGGA